RNAcentral lists this ribosomal RNA (229 nucleotides) under uncultured bacterium. Its description in RNAcentral is "partial 16S ribosomal RNA". It matches the Rfam family "Bacterial small subunit ribosomal RNA", at positions 13 to 225 of the family's 1533-position model. The record is from RNAcentral.
UCGAUCAUGGCUCAGGACGAACGCUGGCGGCGUGCUUAACACAUGCAAGUCGAACGAGAAUCUGUGGAACGAGGAUUCGUCCAAGUGAAGCAGAGGACAGUGGCGGACGGGUGAGUAACGCGUGAGGAACCUGCCUUUCAGAGGGGGACAACAGUUGGAAACGACUGCUAAUACCGCAUAACACAUGGGUGUCGCAUGGCACUGAUGUCAAAGAUUUAUCGCUGAAAGA